Long non-coding RNA from Cyprinus carpio (common carp), 1635 nucleotides. RefSeq lists it as uncharacterized. Lineage: Eukaryota; Metazoa; Chordata; Actinopteri; Cypriniformes; Cyprinidae. The record is from RefSeq and is a predicted model, not a curated record. The transcript has 8 exons.
GGUGCCUCUAUCAGAGAGAAUGAAGUCUGGGACUCCCCAACGAGUUAAGAUUUCUUUUCUGAGAAUUGUUGCAACAUUUUGAGCGGUAGCGUUACGCAUGGGGAAGAACUCAACCCAUCGUGAGUAAUAAUCCACAAAAACCAGUUUCUGGUUAUCAUGUCGAAGGAUUUGGCAUUUCACACAUUCCUUGACAUGAUGUUUCACAUCCGUCCACAUCCCUGGCCAAAACGUUACUUCCUGGAGUCGUUUAUAGGUCUUAUAAAUUCCUCUAUGACCACUCAGGGGGUGUGAAUGAUAAUGUUGCAGGAGAGUUGGCCGGAGACUGCUGGGAACAUACACUCUGUAGUGUAUUUGAUCAUUUUUCAGAACAAUAUCGGUCACUGGAAGCUCUGAAAGUUGAUCCGUCUGUUGCUUGGUGUAAAGUGCUGUGAUAGGAGUCUUUGCUGUGACUGAUGACCUGGACAGAGCAUCAGGGGCGACGUUUAAUUUCCCUUUACGGUAUUCAAUGACAAAGUUGAAUUUUUGCAAUCUUAAGACCCAUCGGAUGAGGCGGCUGUUGGGUUUUAGUGGAUCCCAUGACCCAUUGCAGAGCGGAAUGGUCUGUGACAACCGUGAAAAGCUUGUAUUCCAGUUCUUUUCUCUGCGAGAGAAUGGCUCCCAGUCCAGUAUCACUGGCAUCUGUGUAAACAAUGAACGGGACUUGCAGAUCAGGGUGGCCGAGAAUGGGGGGCGAGGGAAUUGAGGGGCUCAGCAAUUUUAGAAAAAUUUGGCACAAACCGAUGGUACCAACCGGCUAAUCCCAAGAACCUCUGAACUUCCUUCAAGGUGUUGGGAGCAGGAAAGGCACGAAUGGCUUCAACUUUACUUGGAUCAGCUGUGAUGCCCUUAUUGCUCACCACGUGUCCUAGAAAGCUCCCCCAGGACUGUCUCCAUCAGCCUCUGGAAGGUAGCAGGGGCAUUUUUUAACCCGAAAGGCAUGACAUUGAAGUGAUACAGACCUGCAGACACGAUAAAAGCAGUCUUGGCUUUACUAUCAGGGUCCAUCAUCACUUGCCAAUAUCAACAGUUAAGGUCUAGAGUGGAGAAAAUGGAUGCCCCGGAGAGUGAUUCUAGGAUCUCAGUGAUGUUCGGAAGAGGAACUACAGGUGAGGCCCAAGCAGAAUGUGAUGGCUCCACAAUCCCCUCUUUCAACAUUACUUCCAAUUGUUCCUCCAUUGCUUGUUGCUUGACAGGGGAUAACCGAUAUGGCCGUUGUUUGAUAGGAACCUGGCAGGUAGUAUAGAUGUAAUGUUGUAGGACAUCCGUUCGCCCAGUUUGGUGAGUACAUACUUGUGGGUUUGCUUUCUAAUAUCUGAAGUAGCUGUUGUUUUCCACCCAUAGGUAGAUGUGCUUUACUUACAGCAUCUCUAAUUAAGGUUGCAUCAUCCACACUGUCAGUUUGUAACAUGGUUAAGGGAGGAGGAACAGCACUUAACAAGAGGCUGCUACAGUGUUAUUGGAUGGUCGGCCUCCUGACUUUGCAGAGUGGUGAGAAUACUUUUCAUGGGUGAAAUGUUGUUGAUGUUGACCAGAAGACUGCGGAGAAGGAGGAUGUACAUACUUUGGACAGUUUCCUGGAGGAUGCGGUCCGUUACA